Molecule: ribosomal RNA, 1329 nt
Filed under: human gut metagenome
Description: bacterial LSU rRNA
Rfam family: Bacterial large subunit ribosomal RNA
Source: RNAcentral
AGAGUGCGUAAUAGCUCACUAGUCGAGAGGUCCUGCGCCGAAAAUGUCCGGGGCUAAAACACAACACCGAAGCUUAGGAAUUCUUUUGAAUUGGUAGAGGAGCAUUGAAGACGGAACGAAGCCAUACCGAAAGGAAUGGUGGACUGUCUUGAAGAGAGAAUGCCGGAAUGAGUAGCGAGAUUGAAGUGAGAAUCUUCAAGGCCGAAUAUCUAAGGUUUCCAGGGUAAAGCUGAUCUGCCCUGGGUAAGUCGGGGCCUAAGGCAAGGUCGAAAGACGUAGUCGAUGGAUAACAGGUUGAAAUUCCUGUACUGCAUCAAAUCAGAAAUGUGGGGACACAUGAGGGAAGCAUGAGCCGGAAAAGGAAAGUCCGGUACAAGCGCAGCAGAGGACAGAUAGGCAAAACCGUCUGUCAACUCAAGGGCGCGAUGUGGAGCGAACCAAAGUAGCGAAGCAUGUGGAGCUUGUGUCGAGAAAAGCCGCUAUAGUGUUUGAUGUACCCGUACCGUAAACCGACACAGGUGGAUGAGGAGAGAAUCCUAAGGCCGGCGGGAGAAGCAUUGUUAAGGAACUCGGCAAAAUGACCCCGUAACUUCGGGAGAAGGGGUGCUCCAGAGAUGGAGCCGCAGAGAACUGGCCCAAGCAACUGUUUAGCAAAAACACAGGUCUAUGCAAAACCGAAAGGUGAGGUAUAUGGGCUGACGCCUGCCCGGUGCUGGAAGGUUAAGAGGAGAUGUUAGAGCAAUCGAAGCAUUGAAUUUAAGCCCCAGUAAACGGCGGCCGUAACUAUAACGGUCCUAAGGUAGCGAAAUUCCUUGUCGGGUAAGUUCCGACCCGCACGAAAGGCGUAAUGAUUUGGGCACUGUCUCGACAAUGCACCCGGUGAAAUUGAAAUACCAGUGAAGAUGCUGGUUACCUGCGCCAGGACGGAAAGACCCCAUGGAGCUUUACUCUAGCUUGAUACUGGGGUUCGGUAUUGCAUGUACAGGAUAGGUGGGAGACUGAGAAGAUGUGUCGCCAGAUGCAUCAGAGUCGAUGUUGGGAUACCACCCCUGCAGUACUGGGCUUCUAACCUGCAGCCGUGACCCGGCUGGGGGACAAUGUCUGGUGGGGAGUUUGACUGGGGCGGUCGCCUCCGAAAGAGUAUCGGAGGCGCUCAAAGGUUCCCUCAGAAUGGUUGGAAACCAUUCGAAGAGCGCAAAGGCAGAAGGGAGCUUGACUGCGACACCGACGGGUGGAGCAGGUACGAAAGUAGGACUUAGUGAUCCGGUGGUAUGAAAGUGGGAUUGCCAUCGCUCAACGGAUAAAAGCUACCCUGGGGAUAACAGGCUU